Molecule: ribosomal RNA, 408 nt
Filed under: uncultured bacterium
Lineage: Bacteria
Description: partial 16S ribosomal RNA
Rfam family: Bacterial small subunit ribosomal RNA
Source: RNAcentral
GACGAACGCUGGCGGCGUGCUUAACACAUGCAAGUCGAACGAAGUGGCGAACGGGUGAGUAACGCGUAAUAAACCUGCCCUUCAGAGGGGGCCAACAGUUGUAAACGACUGCUAAUACCGCAUACUGAAGGAGGGGCUUGCGUUUGAUUAGCAAGUUGGAGGGGUAACGGCCCACCAAGGCGAUGAUCAGUAGCCGGUCUGAGGGGGUGAACGGCCAAAUUGGGACUGGGAACCGGCCCAGACUCCUACGGGAGGCAGCAGUGGGGAAUCUUCCGCAAUGGACGGAAGUCUGACGGAGCAACGCCGCGUGAGUGAUGACGGCCUUCGGGUUGUAAAGCUCUGUUAAUCGGGACGCGGUACCGGAAUAGAAAGCCACGGCUAACUACGUGCCAGCAGCCGCGGUAAUAC